This 447-nucleotide unclassified non-coding RNA is filed under the name Hevea brasiliensis (rubber tree). The record is from RNAcentral. Lineage: Eukaryota; Viridiplantae; Streptophyta; Magnoliopsida; Malpighiales; Euphorbiaceae.
AAUUUAAAAAUGAAGUUAUGUUGACUGCAAAACUUCAGCACAAGAAUCUUGUGAAACUCAUAGGAUGUUGCAUUCAGGGAGAAGAACCUAUCCUAGUUUAUGAAUACUUACCAAACAAAAGCUUGGACUCCUUUAUUUUUGGUAAAUAUUGUGUAUGUCUUCUAGCAUUGUAUUCCACCAUCCUCUAAUUGUCAGUUUCAGCAAUAUUAUUGAUGGACAGAUAUUUAAUAAUAACUUGGCACUGAUUUAAAUGGAAAUUUUUUGAUAGAUGAGACAAGAAGGUUGGUUUUAGAUUGGCAAAAACGCUUUGAUAUUAUUGUUGGGAUUGCCCUUGGACUCGUAUAUAUUCACCAAGACUCCGGGUUGGGAAUUAUCCAUAGAGACUUGAAAACUAGCAACAUUCUAUUGGACGAAGGAAUGAACCCAAAAAUUUCAGAUUUUGGCAUG